This 492-nucleotide ribosomal RNA is filed under the name uncultured bacterium. Its description in RNAcentral is "partial 16S ribosomal RNA". It matches the Rfam family "Bacterial small subunit ribosomal RNA", at positions 30 to 507 of the family's 1533-position model. The record is from RNAcentral.
CGAACGCUGGCGGCGUGCUUUACACAUGCAAGUCGAACGGUGAAGCGCCUUCCUUUUUGGUGGGUGUGGAUGAGUGGCGAACGGGUGAGUAACACGUGAGUAACCUGCCCCCUUCUUCUGGAUAACCGCAUGAAAGUGUGGCUAAUACGGGAUAUUCUGGGUCUGUCGCAUGAUGGGUCUGGGAAAGAUAUUGUUUCGGUGGGGGAUGGGCUCGCGGCCUAUCAGCUUGUUGGUGGGGUGAUGGCCUACCAAGGCGGUGACGGGUAGCCGGCCUGAGAGGGUGGACGGUCACACUGGGACUGAGACACGGCCCAGACUCCUACGGGAGGCAGCAGUGGGGAAUAUUGCACAAUGGGCGCAAGCCUGAUGCAGCGACGCCGCGUGAGGGAUGGAGGCCUUCGGGUUGUGAACCUCUUUCGCCAGUGAAGCAGGCCUGCCUCGUUUGUGGGUGGGUUGACGGUAGCUGGAUAAGAAGCGCCGGCUAACUACGUG